UUCAAUUGGAGAGUUUGAUCCUGGCUCAGAACGAACGCUGGCGGCGUGCCUAACACAUGCAAGUCGAGCGCGAAUAGGGGCAACCCUUAGUAGAGCGGCGCACGGGUGCGUAACACGUGGAUAAUCUGCCUGAGUGCUCGGGAUAAC
RNAcentral lists this ribosomal RNA (147 nucleotides) under Myxococcus virescens. RNAcentral's name for it is "16S rRNA. Bacterial SSU". It matches the Rfam family "Bacterial small subunit ribosomal RNA", at positions 1 to 147 of the family's 1533-position model. Lineage: Bacteria; Pseudomonadati; Myxococcota; Myxococcia; Myxococcales; Myxococcaceae. The record is from RNAcentral.